AUUGAACGCUGGCGGCGUGCCUAACACAUGCAAGUCGAGCGGUAACAGGUGUAGCAAUACAUGCUGACGAGCGGCGAACGGGUGAGUAAUGCUUCGGAAUCUACCCAAUGGUGGGGAAUAACCAGCCGAAAGGUUGGCUAAUACCGCAUACGUCCCACGGGAGAAAGCAGGGGAUCGCAAGACCUUGCGCCAAUGGAUGAGCCGAAGUCGGAUUAGCUAGUUGGAGGGUAACGGCCUACCAAGGCGACGAUCCGUAGCUGGUCUGAGAGGACGACCAGCCACACUGGGACUGAGACACGGCCCAGACUCCUACGGGAGGCAGCAGUGGGGAAUAUUGGACAAUGGGGGAAACCCGUGAUCCAGCGACGCCGCCGUGUGUGAAGAAGGCCUG
RNAcentral lists this ribosomal RNA (391 nucleotides) under uncultured bacterium. RNAcentral describes it as "bacterial SSU rRNA". It matches the Rfam family "Bacterial small subunit ribosomal RNA", at positions 29 to 418 of the family's 1533-position model. The record is from RNAcentral.